This 279-nucleotide long non-coding RNA is filed under the name Lathyrus oleraceus (garden pea). RNAcentral describes it as "Pisum sativum (pea) long non-coding RNA (PSAT_LNC039083)". Lineage: Eukaryota; Viridiplantae; Streptophyta; Magnoliopsida; Fabales; Fabaceae. The record is from RNAcentral.
UCGACUAGCCAGAAGUAUGGGAGUAAUUUAGCAAGAGGAAGGAUAAUAAGACCAAUGCUAUCUCAAGCGGGAGGUAGAGGAAGCCUCAAGCAAGAAGAAAUCAACCAUCCCGUCAACAUCAUCAUCAUCAAGUAUCUUUCGUCAUUCCAGUAUUUUCAAAUCAGAAAACAACACCAAUUCAAUAACAACAACAACAUCAAUACCAAAAUCAACGUCAACAACAACAACCGCAACAAAGAACGAACACCUACAACAAUAACAAUUCCAACAACAAUCAUC